This 566-nucleotide ribosomal RNA is filed under the name Bacillus thuringiensis. RNAcentral's name for it is "bacterial SSU rRNA". It matches the Rfam family "Bacterial small subunit ribosomal RNA", at positions 350 to 906 of the family's 1533-position model. Lineage: Bacteria; Bacillati; Bacillota; Bacilli; Caryophanales; Bacillaceae. The record is from RNAcentral.
AGCAGUAGGGAAUCUUCCGCAAUGGACGAAAGUCUGACGGAGCAACGCCGCGUGAGUGAUGAAGGCUUUCGGGUCGUAAAACUCUGUUGUUAGGGAAGAACAAGUGCUAGUUGAAUAAGCUGGCACCUUGACGGUACCUAACCAGAAAGCCACGGCUAACUACGUGCCAGCAGCCGCGGUAAUACGUAGGUGGCAAGCGUUAUCCGGAAUUAUUGGGCGUAAAGCGCGCGCAGGUGGUUUCUUAAGUCUGAUGUGAAAGCCCACGGCUCAACCGUGGAGGGUCAUUGGAAACUGGGAGACUUGAGUGCAGAAGAGGAAAGUGGAAUUCCAUGUGUAGCGGUGAAAUGCGUAGAGAUAUGGAGGAACACCAGUGGCGAAGGCGACUUUCUGGUCUGUAACUGACACUGAGGCGCGAAAGCGUGGGGAGCAAACAGGAUUAGAUACCCUGGUAGUCCACGCCGUAAACGAUGAGUGCUAAGUGUUAGAGGGUUUCCGCCCUUUAGUGCUGAAGUUAACGCAUUAAGCACUCCGCCUGGGGAGUACGGCCGCAAGGCUGAAACUCAAAG